This 505-nucleotide ribosomal RNA is filed under the name Listeria monocytogenes. Its description in RNAcentral is "bacterial SSU rRNA". It matches the Rfam family "Bacterial small subunit ribosomal RNA", at positions 1035 to 1533 of the family's 1533-position model. The record is from RNAcentral. Lineage: Bacteria; Bacillati; Bacillota; Bacilli; Caryophanales; Listeriaceae.
CAGGUGGUGCAUGGUUGUCGUCAGCUCGUGUCGUGAGAUGUUGGGUUAAGUCCCGCAACGAGCGCAACCCUUGAUUUUAGUUGCCAGCAUUUAGUUGGGCACUCUAAAGUGACUGCCGGUGCAAGCCGGAGGAAGGUGGGGAUGACGUCAAAUCAUCAUGCCCCUUAUGACCUGGGCUACACACGUGCUACAAUGGAUAGUACAAAGGGUCGCGAAGCCGCGAGGUGGAGCUAAUCCCAUAAAACUAUUCUCAGUUCGGAUUGUAGGCUGCAACUCGCCUACAUGAAGCCGGAAUCGCUAGUAAUCGUGGAUCAGCAUGCCACGGUGAAUACGUUCCCGGGCCUUGUACACACCGCCCGUCACACCACGAGAGUUUGUAACACCCGAAGUCGGUAGGGUAACCUUUAUGGAGCCAGCCGCCGAAGGUGGGACAGAUAAUUGGGGUGAAGUCGUAACAAGGUAGCCGUAUCGGAAGGUGCGGCUGGAUCACCUCCUUUCUAAGGAA